RNAcentral lists this ribosomal RNA (219 nucleotides) under uncultured bacterium. RNAcentral's name for it is "partial 16S ribosomal RNA". It matches the Rfam family "Bacterial small subunit ribosomal RNA", at positions 29 to 240 of the family's 1533-position model. The record is from RNAcentral.
AGUGAACGCUGGCGGCGUGGAUUAGGCAUGCAAGUCGAGCGAUCUCGCAAGAGAUAGCGGCAAACGGGUGAGGAAUACAUAGGUAAUCUUCCCUUAAAUCAGGAAUAGCCUUAUGAAAGUAGGGGUAAUGUCUGAUAGCAUCAUGAGGGCGCAUGUUCUUAUGAUUAAAGACAGGGACCUUCGGGCCGUCGUCGUUUAGGGUAGUGAGCCGAUGUCUUA